UGCGGGGUAGAGCAGCCGGUAGCUCGUCGGGCUCAUAACCCGGAGGUCGCAGGUUCGAGUCCUGUCCCCGCUACUA
This 76-nucleotide transfer RNA is filed under the name Bacteroidota bacterium. Its description in RNAcentral is "Bacteroidetes bacterium (hydrothermal vent metagenome) tRNA-Met". It matches the Rfam family "tRNA". From Rfam's summary of the family: Transfer RNA (tRNA) molecules are approximately 80 nucleotides in length. Their secondary structure includes four short double-helical elements and three loops (D, anti-codon, and T loops). Further hydrogen bonds mediate the characteristic L-shaped molecular structure. tRNAs have two regions of fundamental functional importance: the anti-codon, which is responsible for specific mRNA codon recognition, and the 3' end, to which the tRNAs corresponding amino acid is attached (by aminoacyl-tRNA synthetases). tRNAs cope with the degeneracy of the genetic code in two manners: having more than one tRNA (with a specific anti-codon) for a particular amino acid; and 'wobble' base-pairing, i.e. permitting non-standard base-pairing at the 3rd anti-codon position. The record is from RNAcentral. Lineage: Bacteria; Pseudomonadati; Bacteroidota.